Molecule: long non-coding RNA, 2009 nt
Organism: Cyanistes caeruleus (blue tit)
Lineage: Eukaryota; Metazoa; Chordata; Aves; Passeriformes; Paridae
Source: RefSeq, a predicted model, not a curated record
CCCCGGCCCCUCUCCACAGCCAUUCACCGGUUUGCGACACCUGGAUAUCGGGAAACGGGCGCUGCUUUACGGCCGCGGCGCCGCCUUCUGGCUUCGGGAAGGGGUCGGCGAGAGGUGGCCGCCAUCUUGCUGUAGCUUUCCAGCUUUCAUGCCAGACUUGGGUGUUCUGUAUUUGUUACCCCGCGGAGUCGUUCGCACAAGAACUGAGAGUGAGAACACGGGGACUGAAAGAGGUGGUGAGGUCAGGUCUAUGGAAGAGAAUUGACAUUGGUCACACUUAUCCAGAUGCCUCAGGGAUGUUCCCUGCACAGGAACGACAGACAACAUACAGGAAGACAAAUUUGCUGCAAGGAGCUUACUAAAAUGCACAGUUGGGUCACACGUCAUAAUUCCUGCUCUGCUUCUGAGCAGGUUUCUGUGUGAUACUUGUCCUCAUCGUUAUGUAGGUUAGUAAAACGUGGAAAGGGUUUGCUUAUCUUAACAUUGUUUGUGUGUGAGAGGGGUGGGAGAUGCUUACCCCUCAGGUUGUCAGGAAUAUACAAACCCCACCUCCAACACUACAAAACUCGAAAGACUUGCCCCACCCUGAUUCUCCAUCUCUUGCCUAUUAGUUCCCCCCUUAAAUCCUAGAACAUGCAAGUGAACCAAAGUAAGAUUUAAGCAUCUGUGCAAGUGUAAGAAAGAUGUCUGUCAAAGGUCUAAUCUCAGGUAAACAGACCAGAAAAACCUCUAAUACGGUUUUGGUGAGCCAAAUCCUUUGGUUACUUCUGCAGGUGAUGUUUUACAUAACAUUUACAAACCUAGAGACUUGUGAUUAACUGGUAGGAAGAACAGAAAGACUAUUUGCUGUGCUUAUGAGGAGUCAAACACAAUGGCAAUUACAAGAUCAUCCCAUUAUAUAGGUGCCUUAAUAAUAUAGUUGGACGACAUGUCAUUUGUUCAUUGUAAUUACAGUAUAAACCAAAACGUUAAAGCAGCUGGCACUGUAGUGAUUUAAUAAUAAUUUUUAAAAUGUCCCUUAGUAACUUUGCCUCUAAUUAAAAAGGAAUCUAGCUGUCACAAUAAAUUGCACCUACCUGGCACGUGGAGAUUGCGCUCUCUUGUGGUUUUCAUCACCUUUUGAAGUGUUGCAGAACACCUGAUCAUUAUCUUUCCUUUCUCCUGUGAUGCAGCCCUACAGCAUCUAGCAAUAAAUUGUAGGCACUUUCAUUGACCUUUCCAUUUCUUCUUAAAAGCAGAUGAGAGUAUGCUCAGUAAUCAUAAAAAUAAAAAAAAACAUUAGUGUAAAAAGUAUAUAUUAUUAACUAUGGUCACUGUUGCUGUCCCAUUUUUAUUAAGUUAAUAAAUUGUCCUGGGAAAACUGCCCAUUUAAAAAUCUUGGAUUCCAUAUCAUAGAAAAUCCAAAUUGUUUUAUAGGAUUUGUAGUGGUGUAUCUCUAUUCCCUUUUCCCAAAUUAGCAUGUUAUGGACAGUUUAAGAGCAGUUCUGUUGCAUUCCAUUUCUGUGUAUUCAUCCGUGGUAGGUGAACUUAAAAGUGACUACAUUUAUUUAUUGAAGGACCUCUGUAGAGCUAGAGAUGUAAAGCAUAUCAAAAAAGAACAGAAUAUAUUUAAGGGGUAUUAUAACAUCUUCCUAAAAUGUUUUUCAGAAUUGUAUUGCACUUAUCUCUUGCAUUUAAAAUUGUGCUUUUAGUGAUGUAAGCAUUGUAGUCUACCUGUUUCCUGGGUUUGCUGGAUGCCCAAUACUUCUUUCUGUACAACACAAACCUUCACAGAUACCAGUUACUAUGUUAUUCUAAAAAUAAGUUUAGGCAUUAACUGAAAUAUUUUUAUGUGACUGAAAACUUCAGGAUGAAAGCAACUACUUGUAAGCAAGAACUCAUAUGCCUUUUUUAUUAGAGCAAAGAUUCUGUUAAUAUUUGGUGUUUCAUCUAUUUACAAUGAAUGGUUUGGUUUGGUUUUCGAAAUCUGUUCUGCUACUCUGCAAAUAAAGAAUCUGAUGUAAAAUUCA